UAUGACCAUACCACCCUGAAUAUGCUGGAUCUUGUCUGAUCUCAGGAACUAAGCAGAGUUGGGCCUGGUUAGUACUUGGAUGGGAGAAUUUCAUACAUGACAAUUAGUUCAGGCAAAGGUGAUAA
RNAcentral lists this ribosomal RNA (125 nucleotides) under Castor canadensis (American beaver). Lineage: Eukaryota; Metazoa; Chordata; Mammalia; Rodentia; Castoridae. The record is from RNAcentral.